GGCUGGUCCGAUGGUAGUGGGUUAUCAGAACUUAUUAACAUUAGUGUCACUAAAGUUGGUAUAGGACUCCCUACUGCUGAAUUUGACUGGCUUUUA
This 96-nucleotide Y RNA is filed under the name Saimiri boliviensis boliviensis (Bolivian squirrel monkey). Its description in RNAcentral is "Y RNA (ENSSBOG00000005599.1)". It matches the Rfam family "Y RNA". Rfam says of the family: Y RNAs are components of the Ro ribonucleoprotein particle (Ro RNP), in association with Ro60 and La proteins. The Y RNAs and Ro60 and La proteins are well conserved, but the function of the Ro RNP is not known. The record is from Rfam by way of RNAcentral. Lineage: Eukaryota; Metazoa; Chordata; Mammalia; Primates; Cebidae.